AUAAUACUCCCUCUGUCCGAAAAUACUUGUCAUCAAAAUGGAUAGAAGGAGAUGUAUCUAGUUCUCGAUACAUCUCUUUUAUUCAUUUUGAUGACAAGUAUUUUUGGACGACUAGAUACAUCUCUUUUUAUUCAUUUUGAUGACAAGUAUUUUUGAACGGAGGGAGUAUCUU
Molecule: non-coding RNA, 172 nt
Organism: Triticum aestivum (bread wheat)
Lineage: Eukaryota; Viridiplantae; Streptophyta; Magnoliopsida; Poales; Poaceae
Source: Rfam